GGUAGAGCAAAUCUCAAAAAAACAAUCUCAGUUCAGACUGCAGGCUGCAACUCGCCUGCACGAAGUCGGAAUUGCUAGUAAUCGUAGGUCAGCAUACUACGGUGAAUACGUUCCCGGGCCUUGUACACACCGCCCGUCAAACCAUGAGAGUUGGCAACACCCGAAGUCGGUAGUCUAACCGCAAGGAGGACGCCGCCGAAGGUGGGGUUGAUGAUUAGGGUUAAGUCGUAACAAGGUAUC
Molecule: ribosomal RNA, 240 nt
Filed under: uncultured bacterium
Lineage: Bacteria
Description: partial 16S ribosomal RNA
Rfam family: Bacterial small subunit ribosomal RNA
Source: RNAcentral